UCUUGGUCAUUUAGAGGAAGUAAAAGUCGUAACAAGGUUUCCGUAGGUGAACCUGCGGAAGGAUCAUUACAAGAAGAGACCCUAACCGGUCCUCUCAACCCUGCCCAUCGUACCUUUUUUUGUUGUUCCCUCGGCGGUGCUCGCGGGCCCGCCGGCGGGAAGACCAAACAAACCCUUUGCAAACAAGCAUAUCGAAAUCUCUGAUCAAACAUGAAUUGUCACAACUUUCAACAAUGGAUCUCUUGGUUCUGGCAUCGAUGAAGAACGCAGCGAAAUGCGAUAAGUAGUGUGAAUUGCAGAAUUCAGUGAAUCAUCGAAUCUUUGAACGCACAUUGCGCCCCUCGGUAUUCCGUGGGGCAUGCCUGUUCGAGCGUCAUUUACACCCCUCAAGCUCUGCUUGGUGUUGGGCGUCUGUCCGCCGCCGCGAGGCGGGGGACUCGCCCCAAAGGCAUUGGCAGCGGCGUCCGCCGGGCUUUUCCCCAUCAGCGCAGCACUGUUCGCGCACCUCGGGGACCCGCGCGGAGGCAGCGUCCACGAAGCGCCCACGUUUUUGACUUGACCUCGGAUCAGGUAGGGAUACCCGCUGAACUUAAGCAUAUCAAUAAGCGGAGG
Molecule: ribosomal RNA, 612 nt
Filed under: fungal sp. ARIZ L118
Lineage: Eukaryota; Fungi
Description: eukaryotic LSU rRNA
Rfam family: 5.8S ribosomal RNA (bases 223-376)
Source: RNAcentral